Molecule: long non-coding RNA, 361 nt
Organism: Eptesicus fuscus (big brown bat)
Lineage: Eukaryota; Metazoa; Chordata; Mammalia; Chiroptera; Vespertilionidae
Exons: 4
Source: RefSeq, a predicted model, not a curated record
GGGCCGGGGGCUCCCUGAGCUCCAGCUUCUCCGUCUUUGCCAGCAGGACCCUGUGGGGGGAGAGCAAAGAAGAACUCAGGGUGGCCUGUGGUGACCUGAGCUGCCAACGGUUUUCAUCUCCUCUGAUAUCUCCUUUCAAACCUCAAAGAACCCCCAAGAUUUGGGGGGAAUCCCAUCACACCAGCCUGACCACGGGCGCCAGGGGGGCCUGGAGGUCCGGGGCGGCCAUCUUGACCAGCGGGACCCUGGGAGUGGAAGUCACAAGAGCCGAGGUUCACCCUGUGUGGGAAAGAGAAGAGGAUGAGCCAUAAGCUGGGGUGCUCAGUUGGCCUUGACCCCCAGACAAGGGUCACACCGGAGC